UAGGGAAUAUUGCGCAAUGGGGGAAACCCUGACGCAGCAACGCCGCGUGGAGGAUGACGGUUUUCGGAUUGUAAACUCCUUUUCUACAGGAAGAUAAUGACGGUAUUGUAGGAAUAAGCACCGGCUAACUCCGUGCCAGCAGCCGCGGUAAUACGGAGGGUGCAAGCGUUACUCGGAAUCACUGGGCGUAAAGCGCGCGCAGGCGGUCUUUCAAGUCUUGAGUGAAAGCCUAUGGCUCAACCAUAGAAUUGCUUGGGAAACUGGGAGACUAGAGUGUGGGAGAGGCAGAUGGAAUUCUUGGUGUAGGGGUAAAAUCCGUAGAGAUCAAGAGGAAUACCGAUAGCGAAGGCGAUCUGCUGGAACACGACUGACGCUGAGGCGCGAAAGCGUGGGGAGCAAACAGGAUUAGAUACCCGCGUAGUCC
RNAcentral lists this ribosomal RNA (424 nucleotides) under uncultured prokaryote. Its description in RNAcentral is "bacterial SSU rRNA". It matches the Rfam family "Bacterial small subunit ribosomal RNA", at positions 355 to 796 of the family's 1533-position model. The record is from RNAcentral.